RNAcentral lists this ribosomal RNA (378 nucleotides) under uncultured cyanobacterium. Its description in RNAcentral is "bacterial SSU rRNA". It matches the Rfam family "Bacterial small subunit ribosomal RNA", at positions 376 to 770 of the family's 1533-position model. The record is from RNAcentral. Lineage: Bacteria; Bacillati; Cyanobacteriota.
GGCAACCCUGACGGAGCAACGCCGCGUGCGGGAAGACGGCCUGUGGGUUGUAAACCCCUUUUCUCAGGGAAGAAGACCUGACGGUACCUGAGGAAUCAGCAUCGGCUAACUCCGUGCCAGCAGCCGCGGUAAUACGGAGGAUGCAAGCGUUGUCCGGAAUUAUUGGGCGUAAAGCGUCCGCAGGCGGCUUUUCAAGUCUGCUGUUAAAGGUCGGGGCUCAACUCCGUUAGGCAGUGGAAACUGAAAGGCUAGAGUGCAGUAGGGGUAGAGGGAAUUCCCAGUGUAGCGGUGAAAUGCGUAGAUAUUGGGAAGAACACCAGUGGCGAAAGCGCUCGACUGGGCCUGCACUGACACUGAGGGACGAAAGCUAGGGGAGCG